RNAcentral lists this long non-coding RNA (2366 nucleotides) under Gossypium barbadense (sea-island cotton). Its description in RNAcentral is "long non-coding RNA (GBAR_LNC010719)". Lineage: Eukaryota; Viridiplantae; Streptophyta; Magnoliopsida; Malvales; Malvaceae. The record is from RNAcentral.
UUUAAAGCUUCAUAUUUAGACAUUUCUUUAUUUGUAGUUUGAAAAUCUAUUUGAAUGAAACUUCAUAUUUAUAUAACUUUGGAAGAAACUCGUAAUGUUUUUGGUGGAUCAAAUGAAGGUAAGGAACCUAACGAGAAGAGAUGAUGAGAGAGAAGAAAGAAUAAGAAGAGCCCGACAAAGAAAAGACCCACCAUCAUAACAUAACGGUAGUGUUAUUAUUAUUUUAAUUUGUCAUAAAUUACAACAAUAAUGAUAAAGUGCAUAAAGUUUAACUUAUAUGAAUUUCUAUAUGUGUUUUUUUUCUUUAUUGAAUUAAUAUUCUCUAAUUAUGUCCAUUGAUUGAUAUUAGGAUCUCAUCAUCCUCGAUUGGGAAACUACUACAAGUAUAUCAUCCUUAAAAAAAUAAAUGUAAGCUCCACAUUAUACAAAAUUUAUUUGGUGAUGGAAUGAAACCAAUAGUUAUCUUACUGCAUAGCUUAGAACAAUGGAAUUUGCAAGUUAGAUGGCAUAACUUGGUCGGUCAAAACAUAAGAGUUUCACCAAGUCAAGAUAAAACUUUAGAAUUUUGAAGGUGAAGUGAAACUCCUCCAUGCCCACCCGAAGCAUGAAUAAUUAGAUAUUACGAGUGAAGAGAAUAUGUUUGUGUACUGCUUUGUUAUCGCUUCUAUCACAAUUUCAUCAUGGGCUUGAUUUCAUGAUGCCAUAAACUGUAAAACCUAGUGUCACAGAUAAUACAAAUUUCAAGUAGUUGAUUUUCUUACAUCACUAUAAUUCAAUGCCCGUUGCAGAGCAGGGCAGCUCUCUAGUUCAUUAUCAAAGUAUUGACUUUAGACUCAAAAUUUUACUAUUAAUUGUUGAAAAACUAUGGAAUAUUAAAAGAACUAAAUCUCACAUGUAAUGACCCAAAAUUUAUGGGCAUCGAAAAAGUACAAUAUCGGACCUCCGUCUUAGUAAAUUGAGUUCGUAAAUAAUUAUUAGGAAUAAUUAUGAGUCUAGUAGUGUGUUUAAUUAGGCUUUAAUUAAGUGAAAUUAGCUCAAUUUAGAGAAAAUAGUAAAAAAGGACUAAAUUGAAUAAGGGGUAAAAGUUGAAUUAUAGAUUAAUAGAAUAUAAAAAGGAUUAAAAGGGCAAUUAAGCCAUUAACAAUAAAUGAGACGGCAUAUAUGUAAUAAAAAUCUAAGGUUUUUAUGUUAUAUUUUAAUUAUAUAAUUAAUUAUUUAGAUAUAAAUUAUGUUAAAUUAAUUUAAAAUAAUUAUAUUAUAAGAUUUUCAUAUGAUAAAUAAAAUAUGAUUUUGGCAAAUGGAUGGUGAUAAAAAUAUACAAUUGUAACAUAUUUAUUUAUUUACUUUUUAUUAAAGUAAAUAGGUAUUUAUUAUUAUUUAUAAUUAUCAGAAUAGAUAUUUAUUAUAAUUAUAUGAUAUUAUAAUAUUUUUGUAUGACAAAUAAAUUAAAUGGUGACAAGUGUAAGGUGAUGAUGAAUCUAAGUGUUCUAAAUAAAAUAUAUACAUUUGUAAUUUAUAUAUUAUUUACUUAAUAUCAAAGUAAAUAGAUAUUUAUUAUUUUUAAAGAUAGUUAUUAAUUAAAUAAUUAAUUAUAAGAUUUUUAUGAAAUAAUUAAAUAAAAUCAUGACAAAUGUAUGGUAUUGAUCAUGUACAAAUGUAGAAAAGUAAAUGUAUACAUUUGUAUUAUAUUAUUAAUUAUAUGAUAGAUAUUUAUAAUAACUAAAUUAUAAUAUAUUAAGUAAGCAAAUGAAAUAAUAAAAGAAUAAAACGAAAGACAAAAGAAGAAACAAAGAAGAAAAAGAACAGAAGCUAUUUCGAAACAGGGGAAAGGAAGGAAAGAAAGAAAAAUAAAAGGGGAAAUAGGGAAUUUAAAGCUUGGAGUUUAAUUGGCAAGCUUAAUUAAGUCAUUUUCUCUUAACUUUGAUAUUUUAGAAGCUUUAGAACAAAGUUUUGUUGAAAUUAAGUUGAGGCUUUGGAAGUUUUUAGGUUUUUGAACAUAGUUUGUGUUAAACAAAAUAAUGAAUUAGGGAUUUAAUUAAAUGAAUUUUAAGUUAGAAUUGAUUAAAGGAUUAAAUUGUAAACUAGGCUAUAAGUUUUAUGUUAAAGGGAUUAAAUAGAGGAAAAUUCAAAAUUAGGGAAUUAUGCUGAAAAUUUAAUAGUUAAAUUUGAGUUUUGGUGAAGUUUGAAUAAAAAUAAAGUAUGAAUUGAAUUAGAAAAGUAAGUAAAAUUAUUUAGGAUUAAAUUGGGAAUAAGGUAGGAAUUGAUUAGAAAUUCAAUUAUUUAUUAUAAUUAGUGCUGUAAUUAAUAGUAUAAUUAUUUUAAUUUUCGUAGCUAACAAAGAACCAGAGGUAUCAGUUCAAAAGGGA